CUUCUGGCGGUUCAGCCACCCCUCCGUCUCCUUCUGGCGGUUCCGCCACCCCUCCAACUCCUUCUGGGGGUUCCAUCACUCCUCCGGCGGCUGGUUCGCCUAAAGGAUCAUCUACACCAUCACCAGCGGGAUCACCGCCAUCUCCUUCUGCAGGUAAACAUCACAAUAUCAAUUUGAUUGGUUUAAGUAUUAGGUUCUUUGCAUUGUACGCUUUAAAAUUAUGAGUUCAAAAUUUAAUAUUUAUUGAAAUUUUAAUGAUUUUUCGCGUGUGUACUACUAUGCAGGUUCUACUACCCCACCACCCGCAACUUCAGCACCUUCAGCCACCACUCCGGCAGGUGCUCCGUCUAAAGGAUCGACCACACCCGGUACAUCAUCACCCAAUGGGGCACCAGUAGUAUCUCCACCAGCAGGUAAAUAGAAGCGGUUUAGAAUUUAAAUUUAAGAAGUUUCGUGAUUUUUUACACACACACUUAUAUAUACUCAGUAAAAUAAAUUUUAGUUAUAUAUAUAAAUAUUACAUUCGCCUCAGCAGGUAAAUCACCAACCUCAUCUCCUGCACCUGCUGGUUCAAUCGUAUCUCCGGCAACUAAUGCUCCGGUGCCGGCAACAAGUUCUAUGACUCCAACCGGAUCUCCGGCACCGACAGGAGGAGCUUCUGAUUUAUCGCCUUCACCAUCAUCAAGCUCAU
RNAcentral lists this long non-coding RNA (691 nucleotides) under Nicotiana tabacum (common tobacco). RNAcentral describes it as "long non-coding RNA (NTAB_LNC006024)". Lineage: Eukaryota; Viridiplantae; Streptophyta; Magnoliopsida; Solanales; Solanaceae. The record is from RNAcentral.